This 466-nucleotide ribosomal RNA is filed under the name uncultured Myxococcales bacterium. RNAcentral's name for it is "bacterial SSU rRNA". It matches the Rfam family "Bacterial small subunit ribosomal RNA", at positions 338 to 795 of the family's 1533-position model. Lineage: Bacteria; Pseudomonadati; Myxococcota; Myxococcia; Myxococcales. The record is from RNAcentral.
CCUACGGGUGGCUGCAGUGGGGAAUCUUGCGCAAUGGGCGAAAGCCUGACGCAGCGACGCCGCGUGGGCGAAGAAGGCCUUCGGGUUGUAAAGCCCUGUGGGGGAGAACGAACCGUACGGGGGCGAAUACCCUCCGUGCCUGACGGUACUCCUUUAGCAAGCAUCGGCUAACUCUGUGCCAGCAGCCGCGGUAAGACAGAGGAUGCAAACGUUGCUCGGAAUUACUGGGCGUAAAGCGCGUGUAGGCGGUCUGGUAAGUCGGACGUGAAAUCCCGGGGCUCAACCCCGGAAGUGCGCUCGAUACUGCCGGACUUGGGUUCUGAAGAGGAGAGCGGAAUUCCCGGUGUAGAGGUGAAAUUCGUAGAUAUCGGGAGGAACACCAGUGGCGAAGGCGGCUCUCUGGGCAGAUACCGACGCUGAGACGCGAAAGCGUGGGAAGCAAACAGGAUUAGAUACCCCAGUAGUC